RNAcentral lists this small RNA (125 nucleotides) under Marmota monax (woodchuck). Lineage: Eukaryota; Metazoa; Chordata; Mammalia; Rodentia; Sciuridae. The record is from RNAcentral.
GCUGGGAGCGGUGACGCACGCCUGUAAUCCCAGAGGCUCAGGAGGCUGAGACAGGAGGAUCUCAAGUUCAAAGCCAGCCUCAGCAACUAUGAGGCCCUAAGCAACUCAGUGAGACCCUGUCUCUA